GCCUUCGUGGUGUAGUGGUCAGCACGCUCGGUGGGUAACCGAGAAGGCCGUGGUUCGAUUCCCGACGAAGGCG
RNAcentral lists this transfer RNA (73 nucleotides) under Stegodyphus mimosarum. It matches the Rfam family "tRNA". Rfam says of the family: Transfer RNA (tRNA) molecules are approximately 80 nucleotides in length. Their secondary structure includes four short double-helical elements and three loops (D, anti-codon, and T loops). The record is from Rfam by way of RNAcentral. Lineage: Eukaryota; Metazoa; Arthropoda; Arachnida; Araneae; Eresidae.